AAACUUUCAACAACGGAUCUCUUGGUUCUGGCAUCGAUGAAGAACGCAGCGAAAUGCGAUAAGUAAUGUGAAUUGCAGAAUUCAGUGAAUCAUCGAAUCUUUGAACGCACAUUGCGCCCCUUGGUAUUCCGAGGGGCAAUGCCUGUUCGAGCGUCAUU
RNAcentral lists this ribosomal RNA (158 nucleotides) under Calluna vulgaris root associated fungus. RNAcentral describes it as "5.8S ribosomal RNA". It matches the Rfam family "5.8S ribosomal RNA". Rfam says of the family: 5.8S ribosomal RNA (5.8S rRNA) is a component of the large subunit of the eukaryotic ribosome. The record is from RNAcentral. Lineage: Eukaryota; Fungi.